Molecule: ribosomal RNA, 78 nt
Filed under: Gammaproteobacteria bacterium
Lineage: Bacteria; Pseudomonadati; Pseudomonadota; Gammaproteobacteria
Description: partial 16S ribosomal RNA
Rfam family: Bacterial small subunit ribosomal RNA
Source: RNAcentral
UAAAGUGAAGAGUUUGAUACUGGCUCAGAUUGAACGCUGGCGGAAUGCUUAACACAUGCAAGUCGGGCGGUAACACUU